RNAcentral lists this ribosomal RNA (560 nucleotides) under uncultured Glomeromycotina. RNAcentral describes it as "bacterial SSU rRNA". It matches the Rfam family "Eukaryotic small subunit ribosomal RNA", at positions 548 to 1098 of the family's 1831-position model. Lineage: Eukaryota; Fungi; Glomeromycota. The record is from RNAcentral.
UUGGAGGGCAAGUCUGGUGCCAGCAGCCGCGGUAAUUCCAGCUCCAAUAGCGUAUAUUAAAGUUGUUGCAGUUAAAAAGCUCGUAGUUGAAUUUCGGGAUCAAUUUGCCGGUCGAGACCUCUGGUACGUACUUGUAUUAUUGAUUUCUUUUUAUUCUGAUAAAUCAUGGAUGUCAUUAAUUUGAUGACUAUGAGGAAUCGAAACUUUUACUUUGAAAAAAUAGGGUGUUUAAAGCAGGCUUAUUAGGCUUGAAUACAUUAGCAUGGAAUAAUGAAAUAGGACGAUUAAUUCUAUUUUUGUUGGUUUCUAGGAUUAAACGUAAUGAUUAAUAGGGAUAGUUGGGGGCAUUAGUAUUCAAUUGUCAGAGGUGAAAUUCUUGGAUUUAUUGAAGACUAACUACUGCGAAAGCAUUUGCCAAGGAUGUUUUCAUUAAUCAAGAACGAAAGUUAGGGGAUCGAAGACGAUCAGAUACCGUCGUAGUCUUAACCAUAAACUAUGCCGACUAGGGAUCGGAUGAUGUUAAUUUUUUUUAAUGACUCAUUCGGCGCCUUACGGGAAAC